UCCCGUGUGGCUGAGUUGGUAGACCAUGGCGCUUGUAACGCCAGGGUUGUGGGUUUGACUCCCGCAGGGGGAC
RNAcentral lists this transfer RNA (73 nucleotides) under Salmo salar (Atlantic salmon). It matches the Rfam family "tRNA". Rfam says of the family: Transfer RNA (tRNA) molecules are approximately 80 nucleotides in length. Their secondary structure includes four short double-helical elements and three loops (D, anti-codon, and T loops). The record is from Rfam by way of RNAcentral. Lineage: Eukaryota; Metazoa; Chordata; Actinopteri; Salmoniformes; Salmonidae.